UGUACAAUAGAAGAAUGAAGGUAAAAAUUGUGAGGCAUAAUACUUGCUCCAAGUAGACUCAUCAAUGCAAAUGCACUCUCUCCACUGAACUUAUUCAGCAUCCCACCGAUGGAGAAUGGACUUUCAGGUUGACUUAUAACCACUCCAAAAACAUAAGAGAGUAGAAUAGAGCUUCCCCAGCCAAUACAUAAGAAUUUCGCACUGACGUUGUCCUAAAUGGAGAACGGACUUUCAGGUUGACUUAUAACCACUCCAAAAACAUAAGAGAGUAGAAUAGAGCUUCCCCAGCCAAUACAUAAAAAUUUCGCACUGCCAUUGUCCUAUAAAAAGUAUUUUUGACAUCAUUAUUAUUCAUGGAUGCUGGAAUGAAAAGACAAGAAUUUGAGAUAAUUCAUAGGUGCCAAAUGCCAUGUCCUCGGAAACCCGCAUUCUAGCCAUGUCCACAAGGAUCGUAACUAGAAAGACUCACCAAGAGAGAAGCAAGCAGUGGAAACAAAAUGGCACCAGUUGCAGUCAGAAAAACACAGCUAAACAGGUCAACUCCAAACACAACAUUAAGCCCAUGUGCAGUGCCCAAAACCUAUCGAAUCAAGUAUUUUAAUGCGCUGGAAAAGUCAUAAUCUCAGAAGAAACU
Molecule: long non-coding RNA, 634 nt
Filed under: Nicotiana benthamiana
Lineage: Eukaryota; Viridiplantae; Streptophyta; Magnoliopsida; Solanales; Solanaceae
Description: long non-coding RNA (NBEN_LNC023675)
Source: RNAcentral